Molecule: transfer RNA, 66 nt
Filed under: Monolepta sp. EMHAU-15070824
Lineage: Eukaryota; Metazoa; Arthropoda; Insecta; Coleoptera; Chrysomelidae
Description: tRNA-Ile
Source: RNAcentral
UAUGAAGUGCCUGAGUUUAAAAGGGUAAUUUUGAUAGAAUUAAUCAUGUGUAUUACACCUUCAUAA